UGUAUUAUCUUCAAGGCACAGUUUCUAAAGUUGACGUGAACAUGCCAAAAGCUGAGGUAGAAGUGAAAAAGAAGAAGUUAAAGAAGGUGACAUUCAGUGAGAAUCUGAUUCAAGGACCUACUCCAUAUCGUUUUGAAACAAGAGAUUUAUUAGAUGAAGGUGGAGACUCUUCUUCAUCAGAAGAAUCUAAAAAGGUGGCUGAAAUUAAGUCUAAGAAAGUUUCAAGGGAUUUGCAAGAAAUCAGAAGCUUUAAUGAAAAUCUGAGCAUGGAGUUUAAGGAGAAUGGCGUGGGAAAGGUUUCAGAGAUUUUGGAAACGGGUACCUUCGGAGGUAAAGCUAAAGGAGAUUUAGUUUUACCUACAGUUCACACAAGUAAAAGUCCAGCAGAGUUUGUAAGUGAAGCAGUACCUGAACAGAAAGCUCAGGUGUGCUGCGAUCCUCUCAACAUAGUCUAAGGUUGGUACAGCUCCAGGUAACUCCAUAUUAUUGGCAUGGUACUCUCGCAGGAAGAACACAGAAACGGUCGGUUUUGGAAAUGUUCUUAUGUCGAUAAUUAAUGGAUUAGAGGAG
RNAcentral lists this long non-coding RNA (570 nucleotides) under Eutrema salsugineum. RNAcentral describes it as "long non-coding RNA (ESAL_LNC000291)". Lineage: Eukaryota; Viridiplantae; Streptophyta; Magnoliopsida; Brassicales; Brassicaceae. The record is from RNAcentral.